Non-coding RNA from Pocillopora verrucosa, 354 nucleotides. Lineage: Eukaryota; Metazoa; Cnidaria; Anthozoa; Scleractinia; Pocilloporidae. The record is from RefSeq and is a predicted model, not a curated record.
ACAUGCUUGCGAUACGAUAAUUUUUCCUAUUGCUGGAAACUGAAGAAUCGAUCUCUGAAAUUGAUAGUCAUCACAUUUUUCAAGAAGCGUCCGAGCUGUGAUCGUGUAAUUAAACGGGCUCCUGGCAAUAUGAGCUCACAAGCACGCUGUGACUGAGAAGAUAAAACAGAAGUGUUGCAGAGCUCUCUUUCCAGAAUGAAUUGAGGAUGAUCAAGCUGAAGAUAGCCUCAAAAAGGAGUGAACUCCACUGUAACAGUUAGGUGACUAAUUUGGAAACUUGAGCACUUGGCAAAUACACCAUAGCUUGCAAUUCUGAUGAUUAAAGUUUGGUGGGGUAAUUGAAAUGUCAGUCCC